CUGGAAGUCCCUCUAAGACCAAACUUACGUGGCUACUCAGCAUCGACCUCAAGGGGUGGCUGCCCAAGAGCAUCAUCAACCAGGUCCUGUCCCAGACCCAGGUGGAUUUUGCCAACCACCUGCGCAAGCGCCUGGAGUCCCACCCUGCCUCUGAAGCCAGGUGUUGAAGACCAGCCUGCUGUUCCCAACUGUGCCCAGCUGCACUGGUACACACGCUCAUCAGGAGAAUCCCUACUGGAAGCCUGCAAGUCUAAGAUCUCCAUCUGGUGACAGUGGGAUGGGUGGGGUUCGUGUUUAGAGUAUGACACUAGGAUUCAGAUUGGUGAAAGUUUUUAGUACCAAGAAAACAGGGAUGAGGCUCUUGGAUUAAAAGGUAACUUCAUUCACUGAUUAGCUAUGACAUGAGGGUUCAGGCCCCUAAAAUAAUUGUAAAACUUUUUUUCUGGGCCCUUAUGUACCCACCUAAAACCAUCUUUAAAAUGCUAGUGGCUGAUAUGGGUGUGGGGGAUGCUAACCACAGGGCCUGAGAAGUCUUGCUUUAUGGGCUCAAGAAUGCCAUGCGCUGGCAGUACAUGUGCACAAAGCAGAAUCUCAGAGGGUCUCCUGCAGCCCUCUGCUCCUCCCGGCCGCUGCACAGCAACACCACAGAACAAGCAGCACCCCACAGUGGGUGCCUUCCAGAAAUAUAGUCCAAGCUUUCUCUGUGGAAAAAGACAAAACUCAUUAGUAGACAUGUUUCCCUAUUGCUUUCAUAGGCACCAGUCAGAAUAAAGAAUCAUAA
Molecule: long non-coding RNA, 781 nt
Filed under: Homo sapiens (human)
Lineage: Eukaryota; Metazoa; Chordata; Mammalia; Primates; Hominidae
Description: HSALNT0135590
Source: RNAcentral